GGAAAUGAUGGACCCAGUGAUAUGUCACAAUCCCCACUGAGGGCAGGGCCCAGGGGAAAAAAAAGAGUCAAAUCACCUAGGUGAUGGGUUCAGGCAUGUCGCAAUGCCUUUUUUGGGAACAGCCUAAGCAGGAUUGGAGAGGCACAUAACCUACAACAUAUGGCCCGGAGAUAUGUCACAAUCCCCCUUGAGGGCAGCGCCCAGGCAGGAGCAUCACAUAUUCUUGGUACUUGGCCAAGGUGUAUGUCAAAAUCUCAACUAUAGAAUGGGCUUCUGCAGGACAGCAAAAUUCAUCAGUUCUCUGACAAAGAUACAUGUAACAAUCACCCUGUGGGAAGGUCCAGAUAUAAGAUUUACAAUCUCGCACUUGUCCCAGCUUGAGAUACAAGAUUCAUCAUCAUGCCUGUGAGCUGGGUCCAAUAAUGAAUCACCAUCCUACCUGUGGCCAAAUGCAUAUAUGACAGUUACAACUCUAACUGCAGACUGCAUCGGCAUGUAAAAUUUAGGUCACCAGUGGGCUCUCUCCAUGUUUGAAUGUGGUGAUUCUAAUGGUCAGUGAGGUGUGCAUAGGAGAGUCACAAUCUCAUCUUCAAGUGGGCCUUGUAUCAGCACUCUCUGUACUCUCUUAGGACUAUAUGACAUAUCGGUGGGCUUAUAAUGUUCUGUGACCUUUGUACAAGUAAGGGACACAAGACCUUAUUUGUUGCCCUAUGCCUCACUAUGUGAGUAAAAAAUCACAUCUUUUGGCUGGGUUUAUGUAUGAGAAUCAUCAUCAUGCUUUCCAGCAGGGCUCAUGUAUGUGACACAAGGCCCACCAUGAACAGGGCCCA
Molecule: long non-coding RNA, 830 nt
Filed under: Homo sapiens (human)
Lineage: Eukaryota; Metazoa; Chordata; Mammalia; Primates; Hominidae
Description: HSALNT0396784
Source: RNAcentral